UAUGUGAUCGUCUCUCGCAUAUCAAUAAGCGGAGGAAAAGAAACUAACAAGGAUUCCCCUAGUAACGGCGAGUGAAGCGGGAAGAACUCAAAUUUGAAUCUUAAAGGGAUUUCCCUUUACGAAUUGUAGUUUAAAGAAGUGUUUUCUGUUGAGGUUUUGGUAAAAGUUCUUUGGAAUAGGACAUCAUAGAGGGUGAGAAUCCCGUAUUUGACCUUUACUUUCAACUUUGUGAUACACUUUCAAAGAGUCGGAUUGUUUGGGAAUGCAGUCCAAAAUGGGUGGUAAAUUUCAUCUAAAGCUAAAUAUUGGCGAGAGACCGAUAGCGAACAAGUACCGUGAGGGAAAGAUGAAAAGAACUUUGAAAAGAGAGUUAAACAGUACGUGAAAUUGUCAAAAGGGAAGCGUUUGACACCAGUGUUGUUUUUCUGAAAAUCAAUUAAAGAACUGUUUAUGCUAAGUUGUUUAGACUUUAUCAGCUAACUGUUUAGUUUUGAGCUUUUCUUUAAUGCACUUUUCAGUUAACAAGUCAACAUCAAUUUCUUUUGCUGUAAAAAAGCUUGAGGAAGGUGGCUUGAGAUUCGUCUUAAGUGUUUAUAGCCUCUUGCCUAUGCAGUCGGAGAGAUUGAGGUCUGCAGCGUAGAUCCUUCGGGGCUAAAUGCAUUUGUGCUAAGUUAUAGCAUUUCAUAGACAACUUGUUGACUAUGAUUUGUCUUGUAGCUUACUCGCUUAUGUUAUUUUACCUACGCUUAGGAUGUUGAUAUGCAUGACUGAUAU
Molecule: ribosomal RNA, 774 nt
Filed under: uncultured Neocallimastigales
Lineage: Eukaryota; Fungi; Neocallimastigomycota; Neocallimastigomycetes; Neocallimastigales
Description: partial large subunit ribosomal RNA
Rfam family: Eukaryotic large subunit ribosomal RNA
Source: RNAcentral